RNAcentral lists this ribosomal RNA (468 nucleotides) under uncultured bacterium. RNAcentral's name for it is "partial 16S ribosomal RNA". It matches the Rfam family "Bacterial small subunit ribosomal RNA", at positions 28 to 507 of the family's 1533-position model. The record is from RNAcentral.
GACGAACGCUGGCGGCGUGCUUAACACAUGCAAGUCGAACGGAAAGGCCCUGCUUUUGCGGGUCGCUCGUUUGCCGAACGGGUGAGUAACACGCGAGUAACCUGUCCCUGUCUUUGGGAUAACUUCAGGAAACAGGGGCUCUUAUCGGAUAGGAGCUCCUGCUGCAUGGUGGGGGUUGGUAAGUUUCGGUGGUUGUGGAUGGACUCGCGGCCUAUCAGCUUGUUGGUGUGGUAGUGGCGUACCAAGCUUGCGACGGGUAGCCGGCCUGGGAGGGUGAACGGGCACAUUGGUACUGAGGUACGGCCCAGAAGCCUACGGGAGGCAGCAGGGGAGAGUAUGGCACAAUGGGCGGAAGCCUGAUGCAGCGACGCCGCGUGCGGGAUGACGGCCUUCGAGUUAUAAACCGCUGUCGCCUGUGACGAAGCGUGAGUGACGGUAAUGGGUAAAGAAGCACCGGCUAACUACGUG